AUUGAACGCUGGCGGCAUGCUUUACACAUGCAAGUCGAACGGUAACAGGCCUUCGGGUGCUGACGAGUGGCGAACGGGUGAGUAAUGCAUCGGAACGUACCCAGAGGUGGGGGAUAACGCAGCGAAAGCUGUGCUAAUACCUCAUGUGAUCUGAGGAUGAAAGCGGGGGACCGCGCAGCAAUGUUUGGCCUCGCGCCUUUGGAGCGGCCGAUGUCGGAUUAGCUAGUUGGUGGGGUAAAGGCCUACCAAGGCGACGAUCCGUAGCUGGUCUGAGAGGACGACCAGCCACACUGGGACUGAGACACGGCCCAGACUCCUACGGGAGGCAGCAGUGGGGAAUUUUGGACAAUGGGCGCAAGCCUGAUCCAGCAAUGCCGCGUGCGGGAAGAAGGCCUUCGGGUUGUAAAACGCUUUUGGCAGGAACGAAACGGUGUCCGCUAAUACCGGGCGAUAAUGACGGUACCUGCAGAAUAAGCACCGGCUAACUACGUG
RNAcentral lists this ribosomal RNA (492 nucleotides) under uncultured bacterium. Its description in RNAcentral is "partial 16S ribosomal RNA". It matches the Rfam family "Bacterial small subunit ribosomal RNA", at positions 30 to 507 of the family's 1533-position model. The record is from RNAcentral.